CCUACGGGGGGCUGCAGUGGGGAAUAUUGCACAAUGGGCGCAAGCCUGAUGCAGCCAUGCCGCGUGUGUGAAGAAGGCCUUCGGGUUGUAAAGCACUUUCAGCGGGGAGGAAGGCGUUAAGGUUAAUAACCUUGGCGAUUGACGUUACCCGCAGAAGAAGCACCGGCUAACUCCGUGCCAGCAGCCGCGGUAAUACGGAGGGUGCAAGCGUUAAUCGGAAUUACUGGGCGUAAAGCGCACGCAGGCGGUCUGUCAAGUCGGAUGUGAAAUCCCCGGGCUCAACCUGGGAACUGCAUUCGAAACUGGCGGGCUAGAGUCUUGUAGAGGGGGGUAGAAUUCCAGGUGUAGCGGUGAAAUGCGUAGAGAUCUGGAGGAAUACCGGUGGCGAAGGCGGCCCCCUGGACAAAGACUGACGCUCAGGUGCGAAAGCGUGGGGAGCAAACAGGAUUAGAUACCCUAGUAGUC
Molecule: ribosomal RNA, 465 nt
Filed under: uncultured Klebsiella sp.
Lineage: Bacteria; Pseudomonadati; Pseudomonadota; Gammaproteobacteria; Enterobacterales; Enterobacteriaceae
Description: bacterial SSU rRNA
Rfam family: Bacterial small subunit ribosomal RNA
Source: RNAcentral